UACGAAGGAGGCUAGCGUUGUUCGGAAUCACUGGGCGUAAAGCGCACGCAGGCGGAUCGAUAAGUCGGGGGUGAAAGCCCGGGGCUCAACCUCGGAAUUGCCUUCGAUACUGUCGGUCUCGAGUCCGGGAGAGGUGAGUGGAAGUCCUAGUGUAGAGGUGAAAUUCGUAGAUAUUAGGAAGAACACCAGUGGCGAAGGCGGCUCACUGGGCCGGUACCGACGCUCAGGUGCGAAAGCGUGGGGAGCAAACAGG
RNAcentral lists this ribosomal RNA (253 nucleotides) under uncultured bacterium. RNAcentral's name for it is "partial 16S ribosomal RNA". It matches the Rfam family "Bacterial small subunit ribosomal RNA", at positions 524 to 776 of the family's 1533-position model. The record is from RNAcentral.